RNAcentral lists this non-coding RNA (558 nucleotides) under Pongo abelii (Sumatran orangutan). Lineage: Eukaryota; Metazoa; Chordata; Mammalia; Primates; Hominidae. The record is from RNAcentral.
UCAGAUGGUUUCUAGAGUUAGUUCCUUACAAGCAUUCCCUCUUGAAACAUAGGGAAUCUAAAUAAAGGCACUCCUUGAUGAAAUAAGUAAGAAAGCUUGUCAAGAGCCAUCACUCUUGCUCAUGGGACAAGAGAAGGCACUGACCUGUGCCCACCAGCACCCCAUCACUGAGCCAACACCACCUUCAGCAAGACAGUCUCCAGCAGGGCUUCCCCCAGUUCCCCUAGCUGCUUUGCCUCUGCUACUCUGGUAAGCACCUGCAGGGAGGCAGGCACCCCAGCACCCACUAGCAUUCUGCAACAGCUGUUGCACCUUGGCUCCCCCAGUACAGUGGAUUACAAACCUUAAGGAGUCAGAGAACAGAUGGGGCCCAAUACAAGUUCCCCAGAAUUACAACAUGCCGUCCAGGAGUUGAGAGCUGAGUGCUGACCUUCUAAAAUUUCCCAGAAACAAAGCCAGGUGGCUGAAUCCACCUUAUAUUAUAGUCAAACCCUCAAGGUCAUCAAAUCAUCAAAUAGGAUAAAAGAAAAAAAAAUCCAAAGGUCAGCAACGUCCAAG